RNAcentral lists this microRNA precursor (86 nucleotides) under Cajanus cajan (pigeon pea). RNAcentral describes it as "miRNA gene-KK1_032903". The record is from RNAcentral. Lineage: Eukaryota; Viridiplantae; Streptophyta; Magnoliopsida; Fabales; Fabaceae.
UGUAAAAUAACACAUUUUUGAAAAGUAAUUUUCAAAAUAGUAAAAUUAAUGCUUUGAAAAGUACUUUUCAGAUGUGUUAUUUUAUA